CGUAGGGGGCAAGCGUUGUUCGGAAUUACUGGGCGUAAAGGGCGCGUAGGCGGCACAGCAAGUCGGGAGUGAAAGCCCGGGGCUCAACCCCGGAACUGCUUUCGAAACUGCUGAGCUAGAGUACAGAAGGGGCAACCGGAAUUCCCAGUGCAGCGGUGAAAUGCGUAGAUAUUGGGAAGAACACCUGAGGCGAAGGCGGGUUGCUGGGCUGAUACUGACGCUGAGGCGCGAAAGCCAGGGGAGCAAACGGGAUUAGAUACCCCGGUAGUCCUGGCCCUAAACGAUGGAUACUUGGUGUGUGGGGUUCUCUGAGUCCCCGCGUGCCGGAGCUAACGCGGUAAGUAUCCCGCCUGGGGAGUACGGUCGCAAGGCUG
RNAcentral lists this ribosomal RNA (374 nucleotides) under uncultured organism. RNAcentral describes it as "bacterial SSU rRNA". It matches the Rfam family "Bacterial small subunit ribosomal RNA", at positions 526 to 896 of the family's 1533-position model. The record is from RNAcentral.